UGCCUCUCUCUUUUCCCACUCUCACCCGACUCCCUCUCACUUCCUCCCGCCCCUGACGACACCACCCUGCCUCUUCUCCUCCGGUGGCCGUCGACCACCCUCCCCGCCCCUUGAUUGAACCCUAGUCGUCGCUCCCCGCCAGCCAUCCUCCCUGCCCGCCGCCGGCACCACCAUCCUCCCCGUCCGUCGCCGUCUCCUGUGGGUAAACCGAGAAAAGCGAUCAAUCGGGCCAGAACCCAGUCGCCAUCCCCGUCGCCCCCCUCCGCCGAGCUCUCUUCCUCGUCUUCCCCGUCUACGACCUCCUGCUACUCUCUUCGACCACCGCCAGCGCCCCACCUCCUCUCCCAGAUCAAGGUCAGGCCACCGCAUCCCUCCCUCACUUCCUCCCUCCCUUCCUCGCGUCCGAAUCCCUAGCCAGCGGGAGGCCAUGGCGACCGAGCGGCACAGGCAGCGCAGUGCAGAUAACCCCGCCGCCCCUGCCGCCACCGACCUCCUCCCCAGCACGCGCACACGGACUCCCCCUCCUCCCGCCGCGGCCUCCUCCUUCCACCCUAACCCCAACCCCAAAUCUAGCCGAUCUGACUCCUCCCCUCACCUCCUUCCUCCUUCCACCACUCCAACCUCCACAGAGCCGCGGCCAUGGCGACCGAGCUGCCUUCCCUCACUCCCUCCUCGCACGGGAAACCCUACCCCGCGGGCAACCAUGGCGACCGAGCAGCAGCAGGCAACCAACCUCCAUGACAAGACCUCGACAAGGCUGUUUGGGGGACAAGGAGAAGCUGCUUGGUCGAUCUGGUGAGGAUGGACGCCCACCAUCUCUUCUGCUGCCAAGAUUUGGAAAUCCCCCAGGUCAAUGGGUAGCGGCCAUGGAUCCAGCAAGAAAAGUAGGGACUUCUCUUGUGGUUGGCGUGUGGGAAUUGCUUUGGCAAGAGCUAUGUUCAUGAACCCAACCAUCGUUUUGCUCAAUGAGCCUACCAAUCAUAUCGAUUUGGAAAUCCCCGCCAACCGAGCUAUCGUCUGUUCGUCCCUCCCUCCUCGCGCCCGGAACCCUAGCUCACGGCCAUGGCGACCGUACGCGUCGCAGGUAGGGCAGGAUCUUCAGCACUCCAACACGUUGACAAGGAAGGCGGAUGCGGCGACGGAUAAGGUGUACUAGCAGCUCACGCUGGUGGAGGAGGCCGAGAUGUUCAGGCAAAGCUUCCGUGAGCGUGGAUCCGACGAGGUAGAAGACGAGAUGGAGGGUGGGGAUGCAGAAAGGAAGCCCCGCAUGCCACACAUGUUCUGUAAAAUACUCACCACCGCCGUUUCCUUAGCACACCAUUGGCCAUCCCUUCAUCUGUCACGUUGUAACACUGGGAUAUAGCAUGGUAACAUAUGGAUUAUGUUAUUUGUCAUGUCCAUAUUUCUUCUUGGUAUUACUUAUUUUUUGUUUGUUUGGGAAUUUCUUGGCUCUAGAUGUGAGAGCAAACAAAAUCAUGUGUUAUUAUGUUCUUACAGUUUAGUGUUGUGUUACUUUUUAGCCUAUGGAGGCAUCCUGGGCUAUGCAACAAAGUUGACGAGGUUAUGAACUUGUUGCCGGUUAUGUUUACACGAAUUUAUUGUUAAGAAAAAACUAUAUUGAUUAAAAUUGACGAGGUUGUGUGAGAUGUGAGAGAUUUCCUUUAUUUUCACCUUUUUUUACUUUGAUAGAUGUUCACUUACUUACAAAUGGGUCCACUUUGUAACCUUCUCAUUUUUAUGAUCUCAGGCAAACAAUGUUCAAGAAAGCGGAAAGCGUAAGCGAAGCGGAAGGCCACAGCUUAGAGCAAUGAGCGCUUAAGCGCAGCUUCGCACUUAAGCGUUUUUUGAAAUUGGCUAGAAUUUGACAGAUUUUGAAUGAUAUACGCAUGAAAAUAGGAAGCAUGGCACAUGGGUAAUUGAAGUAGCAUCUGAAAUACAGUUCACACAAUAGCAAAUACAUAUCAGGUUAGCAUAGCAAGCAAAAUAACAACUAAAAUGCAGUUCAGUUCAAAUAGACAUAACCUAACAGAUAUCAUGUGGACAGAAUUUUGCCAAAAUAUGAAGGAAAUAGUUCUUGAACAUAGCCUAGUAAUAAGAUAAAUAGCAUAUUGCCAUUAUUGCGCAAGCAUACCAGCAGAAGAAGUACAAAAAUUGCCAAAUUUUGGUCAAAUUUAAAUAAAAAACGCUUAAUCUACCGCUUAGGGCAAAAGCGAAGCGCUUUGCCAUCGCUCAGCGCUUAAUCGCGCUUAAGCGUCGCUUAAAAACGCUUUCUUGAACACUGCAGGCAAACUGCUGGUGCUAAAGAAAAGAAUGUGCCUACAUUUCAGCCAGCUAGCAUGGCAAGCGACCCUUUUGUUUCUUUUGAAACAACUUCUACUUCGUCUUGUCAAUACCAUGAUGAUUUUGGUUUCUCAAUCCUGGUACGAAAAAUGCAUAACUUCUCUUCUUUCCAAUCCCUUGUAUAUAAUGAUGCCCUGUGUUUUCCUCUUCCCAUUCUGAUAUAAUAGUCCUCUUUUUUAUUUGGCUAUGUGCACUCUGUAUAUGCAUAGUAUUUGGUUUUUAGUUUACACUGCUCUGGGCACUUCUGGUUACCCAACAGGGUGCUUUUUACCACUGAAAAUUGAACUUUUAGUCUCUGUUACCCUAUAACAUCAAGAAGAAAACUAGCCAUGUGAGUUCAAUGUGCAUCCCUGUUUGUGUUUGUAGUUUUGUUUCCAUGUUGUUUUAAAGCAACAAGACAGUAGCUAAUGUUUAUCUGAAUUCUGAAGGUUAUGAAUCUAUUAGAUUUUGGUGGGCACUGUGCUUCUUGCAAAAUCGCCAUAGGUUAUUUUUGUGUGUUGAUUGUAGGCCUACAAGUUGCAUCAGAGCUUUGGAUUCUCUUCUGAGAUUCUAUCACUUAUUAUGGGAUGAUUUAGGUGGCACUUAUACACGAACAUCUAUCUAAUAGAUUCGAAUGAUGAAUAUUUUCAGAUGCCGACAGGCAUGGUAAAAUAUGUUUAGGUAGGUCAGUGCCGAGCAUGCUUAUUUUUAAACAUGAAAGGGUCUUUAUAUUAGCGGGGUUCUCUAAACGUGUUUUGAAUUUCACUAAUUUCUUUCAGUUAUGCAAUGUCCUGCAUUUUAGAAAGCUCAAGCUUGAAUUGCUCUAUUUCCGGAUUUAAACCUUCUUUAGUUGUGCAAUCACAAUUAUCUUACACACAGAGAAAGAAACUUGGAUAUUCUUAAUCACACAAAAGGUGUUUUCUUACAUGUAGGUGCCUCCUUUAAUCUGUGCAUGAGCCAGGUUACAGGUAGUUAAGUUAUUUAGUUAAUACAAAUCUUAAAUUUAGGUUGUUCGUGUUCUUUUGAUUUUGUUUGAUUAUGAUAAGAAAAAGAAGAAAUACUUCUAUGAUGGCAAUAUGGUCCAGAGUAGUGAUUUUAUUUUCACAGCUGAAACUCUACCUCUCUGAUCUAUCUCAUAUCGUUGAAAUUGUGUUUUCUUCGUUUUGUUUAUCCCAGGUUGACUAUGAUGUGCUCAUCAUUGACUCCACCACCGCAGGUUUUGAGGAUGGUACGACCAGACCUGUGAACACGCCGUCCUUGCAUUCGAGGAGCUCUGUCUUGCUUGUAAUAGCUAAACUAUUGUUACCUAUUUAAUGAGAUCCAUCGUCAAUCUGCUGUAUUGACUAAAUGUAUCCUGCUUGCUUUGCUUUGAAAACAUGGUCUCUACUGAACUCUGGUCAUCCUUGGCUACCCAGAUUGGAUGUCUACAAGGAGAAUCCAGCCUAUAUGUGAAUCUAUGAACUAUUAUAUCGAUGAUGUGGAGUUAUGUCUA
Triticum aestivum (bread wheat) is the source of this 3811-nucleotide long non-coding RNA. RefSeq lists it as uncharacterized. Lineage: Eukaryota; Viridiplantae; Streptophyta; Magnoliopsida; Poales; Poaceae. The transcript is spliced from 6 exons. The record is from RefSeq and is a predicted model, not a curated record.